GACGAACGCUGGCGGCGUGCUUAACACAUGCAAGUCGAACGGAAAGGCCCUGCUUUUGUGGGGUGCUCGAGUGGCGAACGGGUGAGUAACACGUGAGUAACCUGCCCUUGACUUUGGGAUAACUUCAGGAAACUGGGGCUAAUACCGGAUAGGAGCUCCUGCUGCAUGGUGGGGGUUGGAAAGUUUCGGCGGUUGGGGAUGGACUCGCGGCUUAUCAGCUUGUUGGUGGGGUAGUGGCUUACCAAGGCUUUGACGGGUAGCCGGCCUGAGAGGGUGACCGGCCACAUUGGGACUGAGAUACGGCCCAGACUCCUACGGGAGGCAGCAGUGGGGAAUAUUGCACAAUGGGCGGAAGCCUGAUGCAGAAACGCCGCGUGCGGGAUGACGGCCUUCGGGUGGUAAACCGCUUUCGCCUGUGACGAAGCGUGAGUGACGGUAAUGGGUAAAGAAACACCGGCUAACUACGU
Molecule: ribosomal RNA, 467 nt
Filed under: uncultured bacterium
Lineage: Bacteria
Description: partial 16S ribosomal RNA
Rfam family: Bacterial small subunit ribosomal RNA
Source: RNAcentral